This 468-nucleotide ribosomal RNA is filed under the name uncultured bacterium. Its description in RNAcentral is "partial 16S ribosomal RNA". It matches the Rfam family "Bacterial small subunit ribosomal RNA", at positions 28 to 507 of the family's 1533-position model. The record is from RNAcentral.
GACGAACGCUGGCGGCGUGCUUAACACAUGCAAGUCGAACGGAAAGGCCCUGCUUUUGUGGGGUGCUCGAGUGGCGAACGGGGGAGUAACACGUGAGUAACCUGCCCUUGACUUUGGGAUAACUUCAGGAAACUGGGGCUAAUACCGGAUAGGAGCUCCUGCUGCAUGGUGGGGGUUGGAAAGUUUCGGCGGUUGGGGAUGGACUCGCGGCUUAUCAGCUUGUUGGUGGGGUAGUGGCUUACCACGGCUUUGACGGGUAGCCGGCCUGAGAGGGUGACCGGCCACAUUGGGCCUGAGAUACGGCCCAGACUCCUACGGGAGGCAGCAGUGGGGAAUAUUGCACAAUGGGCGGAAGCCUGAUGCAGCAACGCCGCGUGCGGGAUGACGGCCUUCGGGUUGUAAACCGCUUUCGCCUGUGACGAAGCGUGAGUGACGGUAAUGGGUAAAGAAGCACCGGCUAACUACGUG